AGUUUGAUUAUGGCUCAGGAUGAACGCUGGCGGCGUGCCUAACACAUGCAAGUCGAACGGACUUACACAGAAGCAGGAGAUGCUUGCAUUGACUAACGGAAGUGUAAGUUAGUGGCGGACGGGUGAGUAACGCGUGGGCAACCUGCCCCAUACCGGGGGAUAACACCUGGAAACAGGUGCUAAAACCGCAUAAGCGCACAGCUUCGCAUGAAGGUGUGUGAAAAACUCCGGUGGUAUGGGAUGGGCCCGCGUCUGAUUAGCUGGUUGGCGGGGUAACGGCCCACCAAGGCAACGAUCAGUAGCCGGCCUGAGAGGGUGGACGGCCACAUUGGGACUGAGACACGGCCCAAACUCCUACGGGAGGCACCACUGGGGAAUAUUGGACAAUGGGGGAAACCCUGAUCCAGCGACGCCGCGUGAGUGAAGAAGUAUUUCGGUACGUAAAGCUCUAUCAGCAGGAAAGAAAAUGACGGUACCUGACUAAGAAGCCCCGGCUAACUACGUGCCAGCAGCCGCGGUAAUACGUAAGGGGCAAGCGUUAUCCGGAUUUACUGGGUGUAAAGGGAGCGUAGACAGCAGCGCAAGUCUGGAGUGAAAUGCCGGGGCCCAACC
This 612-nucleotide ribosomal RNA is filed under the name uncultured bacterium. RNAcentral's name for it is "bacterial SSU rRNA". It matches the Rfam family "Bacterial small subunit ribosomal RNA", at positions 10 to 614 of the family's 1533-position model. The record is from RNAcentral.